CGUAGGGUACAAGCGUUGUCCGGAAUUAUUGGGCGUAAAGAGCUCGUAGGUGGUUUGUCGCGUCUGCUGUGGAAUCGUGCCGCUUAACGGUGCGCGUGCAGUGGGUACGGGCAGACUGGAGUGCAGUAGGGGAGUCUGGAAUUCCUGGUGUAGCGGUGAAAUGCGCAGAUAUCAGGAGGAACACCGGUGGCGAAGGCGGGACUCUGGGCUGUUACUGACGCUGAGGAGCGAAAGCAUGGGAGCGAACAGGAUU
This 253-nucleotide ribosomal RNA is filed under the name uncultured bacterium. RNAcentral describes it as "partial 16S ribosomal RNA". It matches the Rfam family "Bacterial small subunit ribosomal RNA", at positions 526 to 779 of the family's 1533-position model. The record is from RNAcentral.